UUUAAAGAGAGUUUGAUCCUGGCUCAGGACGAACGCUGGCGGCGUGCCUAAUACAUGCAAGUCGAACGAACGGUGGAAGAGCUUGCUCUUCCAAAGUUAGUGGCGGACGGGUGAGUAACACGUGGGCAACCUGCCUGUAAGUUGGGGAUAACUCCGGGAAACCGGGGCUAAUACCGAAUGAUAG
This 184-nucleotide ribosomal RNA is filed under the name Listeria monocytogenes. RNAcentral describes it as "partial 16S ribosomal RNA". It matches the Rfam family "Bacterial small subunit ribosomal RNA", at positions 1 to 179 of the family's 1533-position model. Lineage: Bacteria; Bacillati; Bacillota; Bacilli; Caryophanales; Listeriaceae. The record is from RNAcentral.